This 23-nucleotide non-coding RNA is filed under the name Rattus norvegicus (Norway rat). Lineage: Eukaryota; Metazoa; Chordata; Mammalia; Rodentia; Muridae. The record is from RNAcentral.
CGGCGAAUAGCAAUAUUGGGAGU